UUAAAUUGAAGAGUUUGAUCAUGGCUCAGAUUGAACGCUGGCGGCAGGCCUAACACAUGCAAGUCGAACGGUAACAGGAARCAGCUUGCUGYUUYGCUGACGAGUGGCGGACGGGUGAGUAAUG
RNAcentral lists this ribosomal RNA (124 nucleotides) under Escherichia coli. Its description in RNAcentral is "partial 16S ribosomal RNA". It matches the Rfam family "Bacterial small subunit ribosomal RNA", at positions 1 to 115 of the family's 1533-position model. The record is from RNAcentral. Lineage: Bacteria; Pseudomonadati; Pseudomonadota; Gammaproteobacteria; Enterobacterales; Enterobacteriaceae.